RNAcentral lists this ribosomal RNA (253 nucleotides) under uncultured bacterium. RNAcentral describes it as "partial 16S ribosomal RNA". It matches the Rfam family "Archaeal small subunit ribosomal RNA", at positions 474 to 727 of the family's 1478-position model. The record is from RNAcentral.
UACCAGCACCCCGAGUGGUCGGGACGAUUAUUGGGCCUAAAGCAUCCGUAGCCGGUUCUACAAGUCUUCCGUUAAAUCCACCUGCUUAACAGAUGGGCUGCGGAAGAUACUAUGGAGCUAGGAGGCGGGAGAGGCAAGCGGUACUCAGUGGGUAGGGGUAAAAUCCUCUGAUCCAUUGAAGACCACCAGUGGCGAAGGCGGCUUGCCAAUACGCGCUCGACGGUGAGGGAUGAAAGCUGGGGGAGCAAACCGG